AGGAUAUCGGCACCUGCAGCAACCCAUAAUGCUACAUGCUAGGCUGUGUACAGGUGUCCCAGAUUACAUAUAAUAGAAGAAAAUCCCAGAAUGCAUUGCAACAAACUCAAAACAUUCAAAACAUUCAAGAUAGCAGACAAGCUGCUUGAGGACAUGAGAUUUACAGACAGAGAGCGAAAGAGGCAUGAAAAGAGGGAGUCAACGGGAGAUUAAAAAAAAAAAGUUCACAAUAAGAG
Molecule: long non-coding RNA, 236 nt
Organism: Labeo rohita (rohu)
Lineage: Eukaryota; Metazoa; Chordata; Actinopteri; Cypriniformes; Cyprinidae
Exons: 3
Source: RefSeq, a predicted model, not a curated record